Sapajus apella (tufted capuchin) is the source of this 2575-nucleotide long non-coding RNA. RefSeq lists it as uncharacterized. Lineage: Eukaryota; Metazoa; Chordata; Mammalia; Primates; Cebidae. The record is from RefSeq and is a predicted model, not a curated record. The transcript is spliced from 4 exons.
GACGUACACACGCAACCCUAUCCCUACGGUCCUAGAACUGGGGGUUACUAUCUUGGAAUCUGGGGGCACUCCAGAUUAUGGGCUCAGACUGCAGACUUCUGCCUACUCCGGCCUUAGCCUUUCAAAGACCCGAAGGAUUCCUGAGCUUUUUGCCCUAGGUGCUGGGGCAGCGAUGACUCACCGCAGCACCCCCUCCCACUUCGCCAAGCUGCCGUCUCCGCCCACCCCCAAACAAUCCCGACAUCGCACUUCGGGCGCCAGGGCUCCGGGCGCUUUGCUGGGGGCUAAAGGGAUUUAUCCCUUUCCUAGAAUCCCAGCAGGAAUUCCUAGAACUACCCCCUCCCAGGCUUCAAGCUUGCCACCCUCCCCACCGGAUCCUUCCAUUGCGAGGCAGAGAAGGAUGCGCUUGGGAACUUGAAGACCCACGAACGACAGCGCACGGAGGGAGCAGCCCAGUGUCCGGGGGCAAAGUCCUCAAGGUUCAUUCAUUCAGCAAGCCUCUGUCCAGCCUUUACUGUGUGCUGAGUGAAAAGCUGAGGAUAAGGAAAGAGCAAGACUCCCAAGAAACUCAUGUCUAGCUGAAAGCCAAAACAUGCCACAAUUUUGCUAUAUUUCUCUCCAACAAGGAUUUGUAUAUGUUCACCUUCUCCUCAAGUAGCACCUGGACCUGCUUCUUUCCCUUCGAAUGCUGAGGGCUCAGUCUUCAAGUUUCGUUAUGAAACAGGGUGUACCAUCAGAGACGCAGGUCACAACCUAAAUAAGAAGAGUCUGACUUUUGAUCCAGGACUGCUGACUUGGAAGCCCCAUUGGUAACUACUAUGCCAUACUCCAUGUCUGUUUUCUCCAUCACUGUUUGAAGUUUAACAUGCCCGUCUUUUCUGUUGGCAGUCUUUAAGUGGUCAUUUUCCCACCAUGACUGCUUGGCUCCACAGUUUAGUUUUUAUUGACUCUUUUGAACAUUCCCAGUGUGUGGAAAUUUUUAAAAGAGCCCUCAAGCCAUUUCUGGAAUCUACGACACAGAGUUUAGAUCUCAUUCUAUUAAGAGUUUGAAUCUAAACCCACUUCUGAAAAGUGAAAGUAUGUACUCAGUAAAUUCCUGAAACUGACAAGAACUCUUUGGCUAUUAUUCAAAAAUGUCUAAUACCAUGAACUAAAAUGGUGAGUUAUUUCCGCACUUCACACACAACCCAUCCAACCCUUGAAAGUAGAGUGUUAAACUAUGUUUAUCACUGGGUGCAAAACCGUUUCCCCUUGAAGAUAAUCUGAAAUAAUUUGAUAAUGAUGGUGGAUUAGAAGGCAGUGUUGAUUCAAAAUAUUUAAAUCUGCUAUGCUUACAUUUUUAAAAAGUGAACACAUUUUGUAUACAAUAAACUAUUCAUAUAAGAUUUUUCAAUUAAACUUCACAUGCUGCUAACUAGUUAUGACAUUAGUAAACACAGCUUUUCCCUCUUAUAUUAACAUAGCUGCAUUGAGUGUGAACUCACUUUUAGUUCUUUUUGCCCAAACUAUAGUCAGUUUUUCAUAUAUGAACAAUAUAUUUUUAUGUGGGCAGGCCCAGAAAAAGCCAAUAUUCACCAUGUAUUUUAUAGUUUCUGCAGAUAAAUACUAGUAGAGGUGUUGGUUUUCUAUCCAGUUUAAUUAAAAAAAUAAAUUUGGUUUAAAGUAUUUUUCCCACUUAUAUACAAUAUUAUCAAAUAAUAGAAAUUAGUCAUUUAAAAAACUUUAGACAUUUAAUUUUUUUAUGGUUUUAUAAUUUGAAUUAAUGGCAAAAAUCAAAAACUUAAGAGUUUCCUCCCCUUGCUUUGGAAUACACAAUCAAUUCUGAAGACCAUUCCCUUGAGCUGCUAAGAGGCAAACUUGUUAGCAAAUCAAGAAGUGACCCCGUGGACUUGCAUAAACACCAUUACACACCCAACAGGAAGGGUUGUGACCAAGUAAACAGCACAAUUCAAACUUAAACACCAGCUAUACAAUUGUUCAGUCCCAUUUAAGUUGGUGACAAAUGCUAUUUAAUCCCAAGUAACCACUCUUUCAUUCAUCACGAUUCCCAUGUAGCUCUAUAAUCUAUUGUAGCAGAAGAUUCCUAAGAAAUCAUCUUCAUUCUCCCUAGAGCUGGUCAGCCCUAUUUUAGAAAUCCUAAAGUAAAUACUUAUAAUCCCUGUACUCUUUAAGUGAUCACUCAAAGAGGACAUGACAUGUUCUUUUAAGGACCAAACAGCUGGUUCAUUUCCCAAUUAGGGGAGAGUGCUGUAAAUGAUAGUUCUAAAUAAAUAUAUAAUCUACUGAUAAGGACAAUGUAAAUAUUUAUGACAAUUAGGAAAAUUAACGUACAUGUAUUUGAAUACUCUCCAGAAGAUGAAAUCUAUCCAUUGUAACAUUUGUCAGAAAGAGUCACUUUGGUGGAUUCUUCUCAGGAAGUUGUGUUACUUGGCUGUUUUGCUGCUAAGCUGCCUCAGGCUCUAGAAGGGUUGUACAGGAGGGAGAGUCUUAAGAACCCUUUCAGGGAUUAUAAGAAUGAUUUUAUGAAACUUACUGGCAUUUGUAAAAUAAUCUCAAGAUGUGGAUUAAAAAAAAA